Molecule: ribosomal RNA, 216 nt
Filed under: Glomeromycotina sp.
Lineage: Eukaryota; Fungi; Glomeromycota
Description: partial small subunit ribosomal RNA
Rfam family: Eukaryotic small subunit ribosomal RNA (bases 87-216)
Source: RNAcentral
GGGACAGUAGGUUGGUCGUGCCACCGGUACGUACUGGUCUCACUGAUUCCUCCUUCCUGAAGAACCGUAAUGCCAUUAAUUGGGUGUUGCGGGGAAACAGGACUGUUACUUUGAAAAAAUUAGAGUGUUUAAAGCAAGCUAACGCUUGAAUACAUUAGCAUGGAAUAAUGAAAUAGGACGAUCGAUCCUAUUUUGUUGGUUUCUAGGAUUGACGUA